GGGUAUAGGAAAACCUACAAAGCACUUCAAAAAAAAAACAGAUUCGGAGUGUUUCUAGUGGCCAUGCGGGCGAACGGCGGGAGCGCGGCGGAGGAGGAGGGGGCCACACUAGGCUGGGAAGAUCUUCGCGGCGCGCGCGCAGGGCACGUAGCCGCCGCGGCCGGUACCGCGACCGCAAGCUGCUAAAGCCUGCCGGGAAGUAGUAGGACUCCCUCGUCCUCUCGUUCAGGGCGGACGCCCCCGAGCUGCGCGUGUUCCGGUUGCAGCGGCGGCCGUUCCGGCAGCGCGCGUCGGAGGCGUGGAGGGAGCCGGGGUUCCCGUACCUGUUCUAAGAGGUUAGGGGGCUGCCGCUGCAGUGGUAGUGUUUACUGCCUCGCUGCUAGGACCUCGUUUACCUACAACUGUUGGUCUAACGUUUCGACUACCACCUCGAAAGGGCAUCAGUUCUGAUACUUUAACCCCUACCAUGAUGGCCCCACCACCAGGACCGGCCCAGCGAGGACCUCGUUCGACUCUUUGACGAUCUCGCACCAUAAGUGGGCUAAUCUUAACGGCUUCCUAUACUCUACCGGAGGUUCUAUCGAAAACUAGUGGAACUUGUAUAGAGGUGAUCUAAACUCAAGUGACGACGUUUAUAUCUCGGGAACCACGUCUGGACGUACUGUUGAGACAGGAGUUUCUAACAAUUGGCAACAUUCGCCUACGAACGACUCUAACGACAGUCCCGUCAGGAACGACAACGACUAAACCUUUCCUUCCUACAUUUGAACCUGAACUAAUUUCAUCUUCCAUUUCAACCACCCUUCGAUCUCCUGUGACUCGAUUAUAUGCCUUAGCGACAACUGUUUCUAUACUCGGUGGGUGUUUACGGUUUCUCUUAGCUCCUACGAUUAUAACGGUAGGAAUGGACGGGUAAACUCGGGGGUUUCGGGUUCUGUUUCGUAUUCCAACUGUAACUGUGACAUCUUUUUAAGGUCUGCUACGCACCUGUUCUCGUCUUUAUGAAACUACUUUACCAAGUCUUUACGUUCCUACAACCACGUUGGAAUCAAUAGACAGUUACCCCAAAACUACUACUUCGGUUAGUAAACGAAUACGUUUCUUUAGACGGACGACAGUCUACCCAACCACCACAACUUAACCUUAACUAACGGUAUCGAUGUCCCCCUGCAUAACAAGGUUCUAAGGUUCUCAACUGAGGACUAUUCGAACCCGUCCGACCUAACCAAUCUCUCUUCAGUAAACCUUGUUGUUUCCUAGCUUACGAAACGUAACUCUCCACACGUUUAAGGUCUCGACAUUGAUAGAAGUAGGCACCGCCGUUGUUUUACUACUAACUCCUCCGGUUCGCUUCAUAAGUGCUGCGAGACACACACCGAUCUUUAGACUAGGCGUUAUUGAGAUAACAAAUACCACCGCCGAGUCGACUCUAUAGAACGAGACAACGACAGCUUCGACGUCGUCUAGCUAUACGACCUCGGCUCGUCAUACGUUAGUCCAGCAAACGACUACGCGACCUACCCUAAGGUGAUCGGAACCGACUUUUGUCACCAAACGGUGGAUAACUAUGUAACUGACGUCAUUUUAGAGUCGUUUAAGUCCUCUUGUUAGGGAUGACACCGUAGCUGACGUUACUGCAGCCCUGUUUGCUAUACUCUCUCGUCGUGCAGAAACUUUGGGACUAACCGUUCGUUGUUGUCUAUAAUAACCGUUGUGUCCAACACUUCUACUAAGAGUUCUAGCUGCUACAAUAGUGCGGCAGUCUCAAGACUCAUGACUACUACAACGUUCGUACCCGUUGACACGACCUAUUGUUCGGUAGUAAUAUGGUACGUCGUAACGACUUCGUCAACCUAACCGGUGAACGAACAUGGAAUCCGGAUAUAAAACGAACACUGCGAACGACUUCUGGAACCAAAGACGCAAGAGUGUAGAACAAUGUACUUAUUACUUGUUAGAGAGAAAAAAGACAUAAAAGGCUACGAAUCACGAAAUCAGACUCACGGAAGAUGGUAAUAAAUAAAUAAGUAGUCACAUGGUUAACGUAAAUUAGACAAGACGAUGUCCCCUUCAUACGUCUUUAUACUUUUAUGUGCUAUUAUCCGACCAGUGAACCACCCCAAGUGAAGCGGAUCGGCGAGUCCACAUGAGCACGUCAUUCGUGCGGUAAAUUUUCCGGUACUUUUCAAAAAGGGAUGUUAUAAGAAUCUUAUAUGUAAAUCUUAACACGAUCAACCAGAUUACUUGACUUACAAAUACAAUUGAUCUGUUAUGAAGAACGCAACGACACGUUUGACCAACAUUAUAUAAAGUUAUUUUCCGACAUAUGUAUACUC
Molecule: ribosomal RNA, 2336 nt
Filed under: Triticum aestivum (bread wheat)
Lineage: Eukaryota; Viridiplantae; Streptophyta; Magnoliopsida; Poales; Poaceae
Description: partial small subunit ribosomal RNA
Source: RNAcentral